This 500-nucleotide ribosomal RNA is filed under the name uncultured bacterium. Its description in RNAcentral is "partial 16S ribosomal RNA". It matches the Rfam family "Bacterial small subunit ribosomal RNA", at positions 30 to 523 of the family's 1533-position model. The record is from RNAcentral.
AUUGAACGCUGGCGAAAUGCUUUACACAUGCAAGUCGAACGGCAGCACGAACUUCGGUCUGGUGGCGAGUGGCGAACGGGUGAGUAAUACAUCGGAACGUGCCCAGUCGUGGGGGAUAACGUAGCGAAAGCUACGCUAAUACCGCAUACGAUCUAAGGAUGAAAGCGGGGGAUCGCAAGACCUCGCGCGAUUGGAGCGGCCGAUGGCAGAUUAGGUAGUUGGUAGGGUAAAGGCCUACCAAGCCGACGAUCUGUAGCUGGUCUGAGAGGAUGAUCAGCCACACUGGGACUGAGACACGGCCCAGACUCCUACGGGAGGCAGCAGUGGGGAAUUUUGGACAAUGGACGCAAGUCUGAUCCAGCCAUUCCGCGUGCAGGAUGAAGGCCCUCGGGUUGUAAACUGCUUUUGUACAGAACGAAAAGGCUCUGGUUAAUACCUGGGGCUCUUGACGGUACUGUAAGAAUAAGCACCGGCUAACUACGUGCCAGCCGCCGCGGUAA